RNAcentral lists this ribosomal RNA (229 nucleotides) under uncultured bacterium. RNAcentral describes it as "partial 16S ribosomal RNA". It matches the Rfam family "Bacterial small subunit ribosomal RNA", at positions 568 to 796 of the family's 1533-position model. The record is from RNAcentral.
CGUCUAGGCGGCCACAUAAGUCUCGCGUGAAAGCUCCUGGCUCAACUAGGAGAGGGCGCGGGAAACUGUAUGGCUAGAGACUCGGAGAGGGGUGCGGAAUUCCCGGUGGAGUGGUGAAAUGCGUUGAGAUCGGGAGGAACACCAGUAGCGAAGGCGGCACCCUGGCCGAGUUCUGACGCUGAAGCGCGAUAGCGUGGGGAGCGAACAGGAUUAGAUACCCUGGUAGUCC